Pelobates cultripes (western spadefoot toad) is the source of this 645-nucleotide non-coding RNA. Lineage: Eukaryota; Metazoa; Chordata; Amphibia; Anura; Pelobatidae. The record is from the annotation of a GenBank genome assembly.
CUACAAUAAAAAGAACAACGGAGAGGGGGGGUAUGAGCUUCCCAGACGUCAAACUGUACUACAAGGCGGCCAUUCUAGCCGCGCUAGCCACGACACACAGGGCAGCUAACCCACCACAAUGGGUAGCCAUUGAAUCCCACUGGACGUGUAGAGCAGGGAUGCACCACUUGUUUUGGGUGCCAAAACACCUAAGGCCAACAACACCGACCAUGCUAGAGACCACCAAACUAAUGCUGCAUACAUGGGACACAUACAGAACGCACCUUAGUGGCUCAGGAACCACAUCGCUAGCAUCGACAAUGUAUAGUAUCUACCUGAGGAACAAAACAUUUGACUACCGGACUUGGGCGAAUGCAGGGUGUACACACAUACACGACUUAUACAAGGGUACAUCCCUAAAACAGUUCCCGGACCUACAAACACAGCACAACCUACCGAGUAAAGCAAUUUUCUCAUACUUGCAGCUCAAGUCCACCUUACAGCAACCCAAGACUCCACCUAUGACACCCAUGAUUUCAAACUUUGACACAUGGUGCCUCACGGGCAAGCCACACAGACGAGGCAUUUCAAAAAUAUAUAACACAUUGCUUGAGGGCACUCACGCAUCCACAGGCAACUUUAUACAGGCAUGGCACAAAGACCUUG